UACAGAGGGGGCGAGCGUUGUUCGGAAUUACUGGGCGUAAAGGGCGCGUAGGCGGCCCGCUAAGUCGAACGUGAAAUCCCCAGGCUCAACCUGGGAACUGCGUCCGAUACUGGCAGGCUUGAAUCCGGGAGAGGGAUGUGGAAUUCCAGGUGUAGCGGUGAAAUGCGUAGAUAUCGAGAGGAACACCUGCGGCGAAGGCGGGUUGCUGGGCCGACACUGACGCUGAUGCGCGAAAGCCAGGGGAGCGAACGGG
This 253-nucleotide ribosomal RNA is filed under the name uncultured bacterium. Its description in RNAcentral is "partial 16S ribosomal RNA". It matches the Rfam family "Bacterial small subunit ribosomal RNA", at positions 524 to 776 of the family's 1533-position model. The record is from RNAcentral.